Molecule: non-coding RNA, 70 nt
Organism: Ictidomys tridecemlineatus (thirteen-lined ground squirrel)
Lineage: Eukaryota; Metazoa; Chordata; Mammalia; Rodentia; Sciuridae
Source: Rfam
GGUGAUAUAGCUCAGUUGGUAGAGUGCUUGCCUUGCAUGCACAAGGCCCUGGGUUCAAUCCCCAGCACCA